This is a long non-coding RNA of Peromyscus eremicus (cactus mouse), 1525 nucleotides long. RefSeq lists it as uncharacterized. NCBI's taxonomy places the organism in Eukaryota, Metazoa, Chordata, Mammalia, Rodentia, Cricetidae. The record is from RefSeq and is a predicted model, not a curated record. The transcript has 3 exons.
CGGUGUAAAGGUGUAUUAUGUUUGUUUAUGCUGCAUUUGUUUAACGAUGUAAGGAUAUGUAUUUAGUUAUGUAAAGAUAUGUUGCAUCUGUUUCACCUUGCCUGCCUAAGGCACUUGAUUGAUCUAAUAAAGAGCUGAAUGUUCAAAAGCUAGACAGGAGAGGGAUAGGUAUGGCUAUCAGGCAGAGAGAAUAAAUAGGAAGAGAAAUCUAGGUUCAAAAAGAGAAGAGAAGAGAGGAACAACAGAAGGAGGAGAGAAUGAGAGACAUGCCCAGGGCAAGAAGCCUGGCAGCCUCCAGCCAGUCAGACACAGAAGCAGUGAAAGUAAGAUAUACAGAAAGAAAAGGUAAAAUGCCCCAAGGCAAAAGGUAAAUAAAGAGAAACAAGUUAAUUUAAGUGUAAAGAGCUAGCCAGAAACAUGCCUAAGCUAGGCCAAGCAUUCAAAACUAACAAUGAGUCUCCAUGUCAUGAUUUGGGAGCUGGUUGUUAGCCCCAAAAGAAAAAGCCUGGUGCAGCUGAGAUAGAGUCUCUUCUUUUUUCCCAAGGAUUCUUAGUUAGGGUUUCUAUGCUGGGAAGAAAACACUGUGACAAUGGCAACUCUUAUAAAGGAAAACACUUAACUGGGAUGGCUUACAGUUCAGAGGUUUAGUCCAUUGUCAUUGUGGUGGGACAUUGAGGAAGACAUGGUACUGGAAAAGGAGCUGAGAGUUUUACAUCUUGAUCUGUAGUCAACAGGAAGUAAACUGUCUACCACACUGGGUGUAGCUUGAGCAUAUUUGAGACCUCAAAGCCCACCCCACAGUGACACACUCCCUCCAACAAGGUAAUACCUCCUAUAGGUGCCACUCCCUAUGGGCCAAACAUUCAAACACAUGAGUCCAUGGGAGCCAUAACUAUUCAAACCACCACAGGUUCCAAAAGCAAGAGUAAGUUCUGCCUUCAGCAUUUACGGGGGUGUGUGUGUGUGUACAUAUGUAAAUGUAGUGUGGAAGCCAGAGGUCAAUGUCAGGUGUCUCCUCUAUUGAUCCUACCUUUUUUUUUUCUUUUUUCUUCCAGAAAGGCCUCCUUCUUUCUGAACCUGGAGCUAGACUGGCCUGCAAGCCCCAUGGGACCUCCUGUCUCUACCUCCUCAGCACUGGGAUGACAGGAAGAUCUAUGCAGUAUGAUCAUAGGACUUGAAACAUGGACAUGUUUCCAUGUAGCAAAAGGGUGAGAGCCACUGAACAGUGUAAUGGAAAACUGAAGACAACUAGGAAAAGCUCAACUCCACAGAAUGUACACAGCUUGUGCCUGAAAACCUGGAACUUGAGGAGUCCCCAGGAGAGCCAGUCAGAUCCUUGAAGUUCACUGGUGGACCAGCCUCACCAAAUCAACGAGCUUCAGAUUCAGUGAGAGAUCCUGUCUCCAAAACCAAAGGCAGAAACAAUAGAUGGAAGAUAUUCAGCAUCAGCCUCUGGCCUCCACUCACACAAACACAUACACAAUUGUAAACUAAUGGUAGGUUAGAUAACCAAUCGCAUCACAAA